AGUGAACGCUGGCGGCAGGCCUAACACAUGCAAGUCGAGCGGGGUUUUCGGACCUAGCGGCGGACGGGUGAGUAACGCGUAGGAAGCUACCCGAUAGAGGGGGAUACCAGUUGGAAACGACUGUUAAUACCGCAUAAUGUCUACGGACCAAAGUGUGGGACCUUCGGGCCACAUGCUAUCGGAUGCGCCUACGUGGGAUUAGCUAGUUGGGGAGGUAAUGGCUCACCAAGGCGACGAUCCCGAGCUGGUUUGAGAGGAUGAUCAGCCACACUGGAACUGAGACACGGUCCAGACUCCUAAGGGAGGCAGCAGUGGGGAAUAUUGGACAAUGGGCGCAAGCCUGAUCCAGCCAUGCCGCGUGUGUGAAGAAGGCCUUCGGGUUGUAAAGCACUUUCAGUAGGGAGGAAGCGUUGUGUGUUAAUAGUACACAGCGUUGACGUUACCUACAGAAGAAGCACCGGCUAACUCUGUGCCAGCCGCCGCCGUAA
This 488-nucleotide ribosomal RNA is filed under the name uncultured bacterium. RNAcentral's name for it is "partial 16S ribosomal RNA". It matches the Rfam family "Bacterial small subunit ribosomal RNA", at positions 29 to 523 of the family's 1533-position model. The record is from RNAcentral.